CCGUGUUUCUCCGAAAAUAAGACCGGGUCUUAUAUUAAUUUUAGUCACAAAAAACACACUAGGGCUUAUUUUCAGGGCAGGGCUUAUUUAUUUACGGUACCGGUAUGUACAGCUCUUUCUCUUUGCACUCAUCUCGUCUGGGGAUCAAAAUACCGUACUGUCUAAUUAAUCCACCCCCUUUAAUUAAUCUAUCCCCCUCUAAUUAAUCCACCCCCUUUAAUUAAUCUAUCCCCCUCUAAUUAAUCCACCCCCUCUAAUUAAUCCACCACCCCUUUAAUUAAUCCACCCCCUCUAAUUAAUCCACCCCCCUCU
This is a non-coding RNA of Pelobates cultripes (western spadefoot toad), 312 nucleotides long. NCBI's taxonomy places the organism in Eukaryota, Metazoa, Chordata, Amphibia, Anura, Pelobatidae. The record is from the annotation of a GenBank genome assembly.